Populus euphratica (Euphrates poplar) is the source of this 567-nucleotide long non-coding RNA. RefSeq lists it as uncharacterized. Lineage: Eukaryota; Viridiplantae; Streptophyta; Magnoliopsida; Malpighiales; Salicaceae. The record is from RefSeq and is a predicted model, not a curated record. The transcript is spliced from 2 exons.
AUUUCUUGUUUUUGUCUGUGCUCAUUUUGUUUCUAGAUAUGGCCACCCAAAGAUUUCGUACCACUUGGGAAUAAAGAGUAAAACAGCUGAAUGAAUGUUGUUAGCUCUCCCAAAGUCUGAGUUGACUGCUGUGUUGAGAUCAAGUAUGAGCUAUAGAAUGAACCUAAUUUAUUCAUUUCUAAUUAGUUCUCGAUACAACCAGGUGCCCUGCUACAUUUUGGGGGGCUUAAAAGUAGCCGGGGGCAGUCUUUGCUCUAGAUGAUCACCAUGCCUAAAGUUACAUUAUAUUACCUUAGUGAUGACUUGCAAGUAUCUAGAACCUACAUUGCAAUUCCAUUUUUGUUUCAUGAUAGAUUCUUUUCAUCCAAAACAAUCCGAAGCUUCCUCUGGUUUUCUAUUGUCGUGAAUACAACCAUUACUGAUUGAUAGAACUCGUUAGUGCAACUAAACUGACAAAGUUAUUACCAGUCAUACUUUACUCUGAUUUGGUUAGACAUUACGGCUUUAAAUGCCCAGGUUUGGGCUAACUUUGCAAGCAUAUGUACCUUUUCUAACAAAUGGGAAGAA